Molecule: long non-coding RNA, 1063 nt
Organism: Cornus florida
Lineage: Eukaryota; Viridiplantae; Streptophyta; Magnoliopsida; Cornales; Cornaceae
Exons: 3
Source: RefSeq, a predicted model, not a curated record
UGUACAGACCACACAUAUACAAUUUUAGGGCAAAUCAUUUCGGCCUCCCAAAUCGCCUCCAUCUCUAUUCUGGUUCCCAACUCUAAACUUGCCCUCUCUCUGUCUAUGCGACUGCAAACUACAAAAUCUACAAAAAUCAGAUCAUCCUCCCAAAUCGCCUCCAUCUCAAUUCUCGUUCUCAACUCUGAACUUGCCCUCUCCCUGUCUCUGUGACCGCAAACUACAAAAUCUGCAAGAAUCAGAUGAGCCUCCGAAAUCGCCUCCAUCUCUAUUCUCGUUCUCAACUCUGAACUUGCCCUCUCUUUGUCUCUGCAACUGCAAACUGCAAAAUCUACAAGAAUCAGAACCCAUAUCGGCAUAUCAUUUCAGAUUGUUCAAAAUAUCGAAACCCAUAUCCUUCAGCUUUCAUCGCCCACUGUUCCAGUUCGGGUUCGCCAUUCGCAAGCUUCAGCCGCUGGCCGGCCGUCUCUCAACUCUCAAGCCCUCUCUCUAACUUGAUCUAUUUUAACCAGCUGAUUAGGAGUAGAACAAAAUCAUUACUUUUGAAGUAAGAUUAGGAGCAUAGUUCUGGUUCUCAAUCUUCAUCUCUGGUAGGUAAUCUCUAUCAUACUUAAGAGAAAUGUUGUUAUAAAGACAAAUUGCAUCAAAUAAAUGGAAUGCUGCGAAGAAAAUUAUUGUUUUAGGGAGUCUACCAAUGCUUAAAGUGAGACUAAGUAUGGAAAGUCGAAAAGAUAAAUUGUUAAGGCUUUGGAGCAGUAUGAGUAAACGACACAAAUGUAUAAAACUAUCACGGACGAGCUUGACAUAGCCUAAUUCCCUGAGCAAAGUGAUAUCUUUAGUAGUUCAUUCAUAUUUUGUUUUCUUAUGGACAUGUUAGUUCUUUUAUAGUUUAUUAGUUGGUUUUUAAUGGACACACAAUUGGUAGAUGUAAUGGAAAUGUCAUACAUGGAUGUAUUUAAUAGUUUUUUUUUCAUAGAUAAGCCAUAUGGAUAUAUGUAUACAGUGUGUAAUGGAUGUAUUUUAUUUGAAAUAAUUAAUUGAAUUAUUUUUUUAGUUUUUACUA